Molecule: microRNA precursor, 102 nt
Filed under: Marmota monax (woodchuck)
Lineage: Eukaryota; Metazoa; Chordata; Mammalia; Rodentia; Sciuridae
Source: RNAcentral
AGUCAAAUUGCUGGGUCAUAUGGUAAUGCUAUGUUUAACUUUUGAGCAACUGCCAAACUAUUUUCCAUAACAGCUGCACUAUUGUACAUUCUCAGCAGCAGU